GGGUUUACGGGAGGCAGCANUGGGGAAUCUUGGACAAUGGGCGCAAGCCUGAUCCAGCCAUGCCGCGUGAGUGAUGAAGGCCUUAGGGUCGUAAAGCUCUUUCGCCAGAGAUGAUAAUGACAGUAUCUGGUAAAGAAACCCCGGCUAACNCNGUGCCAGCAGCCGCGGUAAUACGGAGGGGGUUAGCGUUGUUCGGAAUUACUGGGCGUAAAGCGCACGUAGGCGGAUCAGAAAGUAUAGGGUGAAAUCCCAGGGCUCAACCCUGGAACUGCCUUAUAAACUCCUGGUCUUGAGUUCGAGAGAGGUGAGUGGAAUUCCGAGUGUAGAGGUGAAAUUCGUAGAUAUUCGGAGGAACACCAGUGGCGAAGGCGGCUCACUGGCUCGAUACUGACGCUGAGGUGCGAAAGUGUGGGGAGCAAACAGGAUUAGA
RNAcentral lists this ribosomal RNA (430 nucleotides) under uncultured bacterium. Its description in RNAcentral is "bacterial SSU rRNA". It matches the Rfam family "Bacterial small subunit ribosomal RNA", at positions 333 to 782 of the family's 1533-position model. The record is from RNAcentral.